This is a non-coding RNA of Manis javanica (Malayan pangolin), 2999 nucleotides long. NCBI's taxonomy places the organism in Eukaryota, Metazoa, Chordata, Mammalia, Pholidota, Manidae. The record is from RefSeq and is a predicted model, not a curated record.
UAGAGAUGACUUUUGUCUUCAUGGGUUCAAGAUGGCUGCUGCAUCUCCAGCUGUUGUGUUUGUGUUCCAGGCAGAGGGCAUCUGGCAGAGAAGGUAGAACUCCCAUUUAUUGAGCACCUGCUACACAGAAAGCACUGUGCCUGGUACAUUCACAUGGAUUAUGCUGCAAACUCAACAGCCUUCAACGCAAGCAUCAGACCCACAUUUUCGGAUCUGAAAACAGAGAUACAGAGGGGAUAAGUGAUUGAUCAAGAUCAAAUACCAGCAAGUGACGGAGCCAGAAUUUAAAAUCAGGGCCACCCCAUGUGGGCACCAGGUCUCGAGCCAGGUUGAUAAGAAUUAGAAGAUGGAGGACAAAACCCUUCUGCAAGGCAACAGGACUUUCUCCAGGUUGUCUGGCUCCGUUCCGCUGAACCUGUCAUCAGCAUCUCCGAGUCACAAAAUGUCGGGCUGGAGCUGCUGUCCUUGGAAAGAAGGGAAGUUGGCACUCGUUCUUGUCCAUGGCAAUGAUCCUGAAAGGUUUCCUGUUUAACAUUUUAUUUGUAUUAAAGAAAAAGUAGCAUCUCCAAACUGGAGAGGAUUCAGUGUGUGUGUGUGUGUGUGUGUGUGUGUGAUCAGAAUCGACUCCUCAGUAGCAGCCAUUUUCAACAUGAUCCUUGUGUUUGCUUGGCAAAAUCCAGGAUUGGAAAAACAAAAGGUUUUCCUGCCAGAGUCCCUUAAUUUCAGUAGCAGCAGGAGCAGUGGGAACCUGGUUCCCUCGGAUGCAUGUUUGAUGAGGAUGGCCAGGGGUGAGGCUGGGAGUCUUGUGGGGUGUUUUCCAGUGAAUGUGUCGGCUUUCUCUGCCCUUCUUUUCUCUUGUACAAGAACACGUGGCCAGAGUGAAGGACAAAUGAACUGGCAGCGUACCAGGAGUAGGGAGGGACAGGAGGGCUCAGAGAGGGGGCAAGGGUAUGGGAGAAAUGGACACUGUGGGGUUGCAGGGGAGAGGUCAAGGGUCACCCCUCACCUGCUGGGUCUGGAGAGUGUCCAAGGAGCCUGGUGUUGGAAUGUGAGACCGAAGGAUGAGUCCCGAGGUGCCUGCCCUAUGGGGUCACAGCACACUGCCUGGAAAACAGAGGCUGCCUAGUUACAGGGGAUGAUACAGACGGAGGGGCCAGCAGCCCAGAGUGAGCAGGAGUAGCUGGGGAAUUUCCACUGGCUCCAUGGUGAGGUCGGCUUGUGUGUGAACCCCCUGCAGCUUUUUAGGAGUCCUGAGAGCAGCCUGGAGGGGGCCUGGGAUCUUGUGGGGCCCUGCUCGUGGGGAUGAUCCUGAAAUCUGGACCUGCAGUCUGAGGGACCUGACAAAGAGUGGAUAAAGAGCUGUUAGCUCAGUUAUUUAUUAGUUGUAUUCUUUCUCACCCCUUUCUUAGCCUUUAUGAUCUGGGAAGAAACUUCAUAGAACUGAGAGGGCCAGUGAGUAUGUGACCAGCACAGUGAGCUCACUAGAAGGUCACCGGCUUCCACAUGAGGUCAGAGGAAAGGUGGACAGUGGUCCCUAAGGAGUUGGAACCACUCAUCUCCGGAGUAAAGAUCUGCUUAUCACCCCAGGAACUGGGGCACCACUGGAUCAGAUCACUCCUCUGAAUUAUCUGGUUAAUCACAGCUCUCCUGUACAGACUCCAAAGUGUCCAAGGGGUUACUUAAAAGACAUUCAGCAACAGCUACACCCUCCCCUCCCCCCACAAAUACCUCCAGCCCUUUUGCAAAGCACUAAGUCAUCCUGAUAGUGGUGACUUAGGUGGAUGACAAAGCAGCUUCACUCCCUGAGUCCUUGCUGUGGCUCACUGCCAUCCUGUGGUGCCACAGCUAGUCCUCUGAAGGAAUGGUUAUCUUCAUUUUACAAAUGGGGAAACAGACUUGCAGACCUUGACUUGCCCACAGACACAUAGAGCUGCGACUUGAACUUGGGUGUGUGUACCUGCAAGGCCUGGCUGGAGCACCCCCAAGGGUGAGCCAGUCCUGGUGCUGGAGCUCCUCUGCUCGCCCAGAUGAGCUAGAAAAGAGUGGGAGUCCGGGCCCCCAGGGUCCUCCUUGCAGGCCUGGGACAGCUGAGAGGAGAGCUCAGCUUUGCCAGGGUCAUGUCAGUAAGUCAAGUUGAAGACUGCAUCUGGAUUCCUCUUGUUGACUGGGGUCUUCCAGGAUAGAUUUGUGUGUGUGUGUGUGUGUGUGUGUGCGUGUGUGUGUGCAUGUGUAUGCUUGCACACAUGCACAGGCAUGACAGAGAGGCAGAGACAGAGAUGGACUGCAAAGGAAGGCAAGAUUCUUUGUAGCAGAUUACCUGGGAAGCCCCUAUGGAAUGGAUUUUGCUCAUUCCCUCCGUGUAAGUGUGAAAGUGAAGGACUAAAAAAGGAAUAGAAUAGGACAGAGGCUGAGCGUGAACCAGCCCUCGCAGGCUUGACUAUCAUCUGGAAUUUUAAGGUCUAAGAAAUAGCUCGUCUGUUGUCCAACGCUUGGACAAGCAUCCAACAUGGAAGCAGACCAUGGAAACCUACUUUUUUCUGAGAUACUGAAGAUGCCCUUUGAUCAACUGACUGACUACUUAAGAUUAUGGCAAACAUGUUACCCAUUUAAUGUUGCCCCUUUUAAAUACAUUUUUGUUGCAGGGUUUUAGAGUAUUCUCUGUGGACAUCGCUUUUUCUAAGUAGGAGGCUCUUCUUGCCUUGAGUUCGUUUGUGUGAACUUGACACUUCAAGAUGAGUGAAAAAUCCUGUGGGCUGCGUGGAAGAGAUACAUAUUAUACCUGGACUAUCUGUGUGAACUGAUGCAUUUUCCAGCACUCCCUGUUAGGCAGGGACAUGGGAUGAAUUCUGGUCAAUGGACUCUAGCAGAAGUAAUGGAUGUCAAGUCUCAGUCAAAGCACAGAAGGGAUAUGAGUCCUCCCUUGCUGCAUUCGAUCUGGAAGCCACAUGUUGAGAUGUUGGUGUCACAGAUGGACAUCAGACCCACUGAUCUGAAACAGA